This 253-nucleotide ribosomal RNA is filed under the name uncultured bacterium. RNAcentral's name for it is "partial 16S ribosomal RNA". It matches the Rfam family "Bacterial small subunit ribosomal RNA", at positions 524 to 776 of the family's 1533-position model. The record is from RNAcentral.
UACGUAGGUGGCAAGCGUUGUCCGGAUUUACUGGGCGUAAAGAGCGCGCAGGCGGUCGAAUAAGUCGAAUGUGAAAGCCCCCGGCUUAACUGGGGAGGGUCAUUCGAUACUGUUCGACUCGAAGGCAGGAGAGGGAAGUGGAAUUCCCGGUGUAGUGGUGAAAUGCGUAGAUAUCGGGAGGAACACCAGUGGCGAAGGCGACUUCCUGGCCUGUUCUUGACGCUGAGGCGCGAAAGCUAGGGGAGCAAACGGG